Non-coding RNA from Acanthosepion pharaonis, 100 nucleotides. The record is from the annotation of a GenBank genome assembly. NCBI's taxonomy places the organism in Eukaryota, Metazoa, Mollusca, Cephalopoda, Sepiida, Sepiidae.
ACGUUGAAACAUCGGCUCCCAUACGAUCACCAAAGUUAAGCAAUAUUAAACCUGGUCAGUAGCUAGAUGAAUGACUUCUUGGAAAUACCGGGUGCUGUUA